This 72-nucleotide microRNA precursor is filed under the name Oreochromis niloticus (Nile tilapia). RNAcentral describes it as "microRNA oni-mir-10597b precursor". The record is from miRBase by way of RNAcentral. Lineage: Eukaryota; Metazoa; Chordata; Actinopteri; Cichliformes; Cichlidae.
UAUGACUGGAUGUGUAAAGCGCUUUGGGGUCCUUAGGGACCAGUAAAGCGCUAUAUAAAUACAGCCCAUUUA